UACUUUUGAUUCUUUCCUAUUCUGACUUUCCUAAAAUAAUCAGGAAACUUUCUUUUCUAAUGAGAUAGGGAAACCAUUUGCAGUCAGAAAACCUAAUCCAACUUGGAAUAGGAAUAUGUGAAUGUGUAUAAAAGGGGGAGGACGAAUUCUGCAGCAAUCAAGGAUUUUAUAUGUGCUAAUCAGAGAAUUAAGGGAGAUUCUUUCCUUUAUAUUCGUCAUUUAAAUUAUGUCCAUCCUACCUUAUUUAUCUGACUUUAUUCCCCUUGCAGGAACCCUAAUUAUGCACCAGGAAAGGAAGGAAAAUCAUGGAUUUUCGUCAAAGGUCUGAUUGAGGGCAGAAGAGGGAAAGUUCUUAAUCACAGGGAUUUCCUUUGGAGAACAAGGAGUGUACCUGGUCCAUAUUCAAGUCUUACGCAAUGGAUUACUGCACAAGACAUUCUAGAGAAUUGUGGGAAGGUCUAAAUCAAGAUUUAAAGCAAUAAUUCUGCACCGUUGGAUCACAAAUCAAUCAAGGGCUAGGGUUCGGCCAAGACAGUAUAUAAAGCAGCAGAGAGCAACGUUUUCAUGGAUCACUUCCUACGCUCUAGAUAUUCAGAAAUGUUCUCUUAGUUUCUCUCAUUGCCGUGAGUCCCUAGAAGAAGAAGAAGAGAAGCCCUUGCUGCCUCGGACGUUCCAGGGAGUACUGAAGCCCUAGCACAGCCUUGCACGACCUCAAGUUCUUGAUCGGCCAAUCAGUCCAUUGAAAAGUGUAAAUCUAUGUCUAGUACUUUCUGGCCAUCUUCUUUUGUUUUUAGUUUUCGUUUAAGAACCAUGUGUUUUAUUUUCCGAAUUGGAUGGAAUCUUUGUUGAGAACUAAGUGAUUUUCAGAUAAUAAUAGUUAUGAUUUCAUUGUUCUAAUGAUGUUAUGCGAUUGAGUCAGUUGCCUUAGAAAUUCAUUGAAAGCAUGUUUGUAUUUGAUAUACCUAUGUUAGAAUGCAUGCUAACUAAUGCUAUGAUCUGUGCUAAGCCUCGUAGGUAAGUAUAGAUCACCAGUAGUGGAGGCCAUAUCCUGUAAAGUUAGGAACAUGUUUUGCAUUGUGAAUGGUUAAGCGUUGUACGUAAACUCAUUGCAUGUUAGGGUUCGUUCUUUUACUUAAUGAUUUGCAUGUUUGUAGACAGAUACUUACAGUAUUGAUAGCAGUGAUACACGCAUUUUACGUUAUAUUCUUAAUGUAUUUUCUACCCUAUUUAGCUUCGUUAAUUCCUUAAUAAUGCCAUUUCUAGCUUGUUUCUGUGUUGUAGGUCAAAAGAGGCAGUUUUACACAAAAAAGAAGGCUAAAACACAAGAGUUGAGCGAAAUCCUAAUCAAAGGAGGAUUCCUGGUGCAGCAAGGAGUCUCAUUAAGUCGCAGAAUCAAAGGAUAAAUCGUUUAGGAAACAUUCCUGUUUUAAAAAGGGAAAGUUGCCUAUUUCAUUUUAAGAAACUUUCUUAUUUUGAUUUAGGAAACUUACUAUGUCUGAAUCUUUCCUAUUCUGACUUUCCUAAAAUAAUUAGGAAAGUUUCUUUUCUAAUGAGACAGGGUAACCAUUUGCAGUCAGAAAACCUAAUCCAACUCGGAAUAGGAAUCUGUGAAUGUGUAUAAAAGGGGGAGGACGAAUUCUGCAGCAAUCAAGGAUUUUAUAUUUGCUAAUCAGAGAAUUAAGGGAGAUUCUUUCCUUUAAAUUCGUCAUUUAAAUUCUGUUAUUCCCUACCAUAUCUAUCUAAUUUUAUUUCCCUUGCAGAACCCUAAUUGCGCGCACCAGGAAAGGGAGGAAAAUCAUGGAUUUUAAAUCAGAGGCUUGAUUGAUAGCAGAAGAGGAUAAGUUCUUAAUCACAGGGAAUUCCAUUGGAGAACAAGUUGUGUACCUGGUCCAUAUUCAAGCCUUAUGGAAUGGAUUACUGCACAAGACAAUCCAGAGAAUUCUGGGAAAGUCUAAAUCAGAUUUAAAUCAAUAAUUCUACACUGUUGGAUCACAAAUCAAUCAAGGGCUAGGAGGAUAGCUAGGGUUUCGCCAAGACACUAUAUAAAGGAGCAGAGAGAAACGUUUCUUCAUCUCUUCUUCGCACAGUAAUCGGCAUUUUCGCACGAUCUUACGAGAUUGCGAACAUAUCAACGUUCUCGGAAUCUGCCGAAACCAAAUUCUUGGCUCCUUUUGGGACCUCCAUACACCCACAACAUUGAUCUUUCAACUUUUUUUGAGAAAAUUUGACGUGUUAUUUUUUCGCACGAUCUUAGAGAUUGCGAACAUAUCAACGUUCUCGGAAUCUGCCGAUACCAAAUUCUUGGCUCUUUUUGGGACCUCCAUACACCCACAACAUUGAUCUUUCAACUUUUUUUGAGAAAAUUUGAGGUGUUAUUUUGGCAUUUUCGCACGAUCUUACGAGAUUGCGAACAUAUCAACGUUCUCGGAAUCUGCCGAAACCAAAUUCUUGGCUCUUUGUGGGACCUCCAUACACCCACAACAUUGAUCUUUCAACUUUUUUUGAGAAAAUUUGAGGUGUUAUUUUGGCAUUUUCGCACGAUCUUACGAGAUUGCGAACAUAUCAACGUUCUCGGAAUCUGCCGAAACCAAAUUCUUGGCUCUUUUUGGGACCUCCAUACACCCACAACAUUGAUCUUUCAACUUUUUUUGAGAAAAUUUGACGUGUUAUUUUGGCAUUUUCGCACGAUCUUACGAGAUUACGAUCAUAUCAACGUUCUCGGAAUCUGCCGAAACCAAAUUCUUGGCUCUUUUUGGGACCUCCAUACACCCACAACAAUGAUCUUUCAACUUUUUUUGAGAAAAUUAGACGUGUUAUUUUUUCGCACGAUCUUACGAGAUUGCGAACAUAUCAACGUUCUCGGAAUCUGCCGAAACCAAAUUCUUGGCUCUUUUUGGGUACCUCCAUACACCCACAACAUUGAUCUUUCAACUUUUUUUGUAGAAAAUUU
RNAcentral lists this long non-coding RNA (2950 nucleotides) under Fragaria vesca (wild strawberry). Its description in RNAcentral is "long non-coding RNA (FVES_LNC005346)". The record is from RNAcentral. Lineage: Eukaryota; Viridiplantae; Streptophyta; Magnoliopsida; Rosales; Rosaceae.